RNAcentral lists this ribosomal RNA (481 nucleotides) under uncultured bacterium. RNAcentral describes it as "partial 16S ribosomal RNA". It matches the Rfam family "Bacterial small subunit ribosomal RNA", at positions 28 to 523 of the family's 1533-position model. The record is from RNAcentral.
GACGAACGCUGGCGGCGUGCUUAACACAUGCAAGUCGAGCGGUAAGGCUCCUUCGGGAGUACACGAGCGGCGAACGGGUGAGUAACACGUGAGCAAUCUGCCCUUCACACGGGGAUAACCCUCGGAAACGAGAGCUAAUACCCGAUACGACCACUUCAGGCAUCUGAUGGUGGUGGAAAGUUCCGGCGGUGAAGGAUGAGCUCGCGGCCUAUCAGCUUGUUGGUGGGGUAACGGCCCACCAAGGCAACGACGGGUAGCCGGCCUGAGAGGGUGACCGGCCACACUGGGACGGAGACACGGCCCAGACGCCUACGGGAGGCAGCAGUGGGGAAUAUUGGACAAUGGGCGAAAGCCUGAUCCAGCAACGCCGCGUGAGGGAUGACGGCCUUCGGGUUGUAAACCUCUUUCAGCAGGGACGAAGCGCAAGUGACGGUACCUGCAGAAGAAGCACCGGCCAACUACGUGCCAGCCGCCGCCGUAA